AACGAACGCUGGCGGCAUGCCUAACACAUGCGAGUCGAACGAGACCUUCGGGUCUAGUGGCGCACGGGUGCGUAACGCGUGGGAACCUGCCCUUAGGUUCGGAAUAACUCCCCGAAAGGGGUGCUAAUACCGGAUAAUGUCUUCGGACCAAAGAUUUAUCGCCUUUGGAUGGGCCCGCGUUGGAUUAGCUAGUUGGUAGGGUAAAAGCCUACCAAGGCGACGAUCCAUAGCUGGUCUGAGAGGAUGAUCAGCCACACUGGGACUGAGACACGGCCCAGACUCCUACGGGAGGCAGCAGUGGGGAAUAUUGGACAAGGGGCGAAAGCCUGAUCCAGCAAUGCCGCGUGAGUGAUGAAGGCCUUAGGGUUGUAAAGCUCCUUUACCCGGGAUGAUAAUGACAGUACCGGGAGAAUAAGCUCCGGCUAACUCCGUG
Molecule: ribosomal RNA, 433 nt
Filed under: uncultured bacterium
Lineage: Bacteria
Description: partial 16S ribosomal RNA
Rfam family: Bacterial small subunit ribosomal RNA
Source: RNAcentral